GGGGACGUUUUGGAUUUGACAGGAUGUUCGGUGAAAACAGGUUGCGGGUCCGAGCGCUGUUCUCGGUUAUCAACGAGCAAAACAAAUUAAAUGCUAACAAUGUAAUUAAAGCAGACUUCUCUAGAGCACAAGCUUUAGCAGCUUAGUCGCAAAUUAUAGCUACUCAUAGAGCCCAGCUUGCCGGUUUUAUGGGUCCAUUAUGCAAGCGGCAGUGCGUUGAUGACGGUAGACGUAUCAAGUAAACCGUUAAAGGUUAGUGUUUCCGCAAAAAACACUUUGGAUUAUUUUAAAGGUAAUGAUAUUCCCUGAAUAAUCCGAGAGAAUAAAUAUCUACACUCGUAGAAGCUUGUUUUAAUCCAUUUUGGACAGGGGUUCGACUCCCCUCGUCUCCAU
This 393-nucleotide transfer-messenger RNA is filed under the name human gut metagenome. It matches the Rfam family "transfer-messenger RNA". Rfam says of the family: Bacterial tmRNA, also known as 10Sa RNA or SsrA, is named for its dual tRNA and mRNA-like properties. Its role is to liberate the mRNA from a stalled ribosome. To accomplish this part of the tmRNA is used as a reading frame that ends in a translation stop signal. The record is from RNAcentral.